Molecule: ribosomal RNA, 622 nt
Filed under: Saccharomyces cerevisiae (brewer's yeast)
Lineage: Eukaryota; Fungi; Ascomycota; Saccharomycetes; Saccharomycetales; Saccharomycetaceae
Description: partial large subunit ribosomal RNA
Rfam family: Eukaryotic large subunit ribosomal RNA
Source: RNAcentral
UUUGCAUAUUCCAAUAGCGGAGGAAAAGAAACCAACCGGGAUUGCCUUAGUAACGGCGAGUGAAGCGGCAAAAGCUCAAAUUUGAAAUCUGGUACCUUCGGUGCCCGAGUUGUAAUUUGGAGAGGGCAACUUUGGGGCCGUUCCUUGUCUAUGUUCCUUGGAACAGGACGUCAUAGAGGGUGAGAAUCCCGUGUGGCGAGGAGUGCGGUUCUUUGUAAAGUGCCUUCGAAGAGUCGAGUUGUUUGGGAAUGCAGCUCUAAGUGGGUGGUAAAUUCCAUCUAAAGCUAAAUAUUGGCGAGAGACCGAUAGCGAACAAGUACAGUGAUGGAAAGAUGAAAAGAACUUUGAAAAGAGAGUGAAAAAGUACGUGAAAUUGUUGAAAGGGAAGGGCAUUUGAUCAGACAUGGUGUUUUGUGCCCUCUGCUCCUUGUGGGUAGGGGAAUCUCGCAUUUCACUGGGCCAGCAUCAGUUUUGGUGGCAGGAUAAAUCCAUAGGAAUGUAGCUUGCCUCGGUAAGUAUUAUAGCCUGUGGGAAUACUGCCAGCUGGGACUGAGGACUGCGACGUAAGUCAAGGAUGCUGGCAUAAUGGUUAUAUGCCGCCCGUCUUGAAACACGGGACCAA